GCCAGACUCCUACGGGAGGCAGCAGUGGGGGAUAUUGCACAAUGGGGGGAACCCUGAUGCAGCGACGCCGCGUGGGUGAAGGAGUAUUUCGGUAUGUAAAGCCCUAUCGGCAGGGAAGAAUUUAGGCGGUACCUGACUAAGAAGCCCCGGCUAACUACGUGCCAGCAGCCGCGGUAAUACGUAGGGGGCAAGCGUUAUCCGGAUUCACUGGGUGUAAAGGGAGCGUAGACGGCCAGGCAAGCCUGGAGUGAAAGCCCGGGGCCCAACCCCGGGACUGCUCUGGGAACUGUCCGGCUGGAGUGCAGGAGGGGCAGGCGGAAUUCCUGGUGUAGCGGUGAAAUGCGUAGAUAUCAGGAGGAACACCGGUGGCGAAGGCGGCCUGCUGGACUGCAACUGACGUUGAGGCCCGAAAGCGUGGGGAGCAAACAGGAUUAGAUACCCCCGUAGA
Molecule: ribosomal RNA, 448 nt
Filed under: uncultured bacterium
Lineage: Bacteria
Description: bacterial SSU rRNA
Rfam family: Bacterial small subunit ribosomal RNA
Source: RNAcentral